UACGGAGGUGGCAAGCGUUGCUCGGAAUCACUGGGCGUAAAGGGCGCGUAGGCGGGGAGGUAAGUCGGGUGUGAAAUCCCUCGGCCCAACCGAGGAACUGCGGCCGAGACUGCUUCUCUUGAGUCCCGGAGAGGAAGAUGGAAUUCCCGGUGUAGCGGUGAAAUGUGUAGAGAUCGGGAGGAACACCGGUGGCGAAGGCGGUCUGCUGGACGGUGACUGACGCUGAGGCGCGAAAGCGUGGGGAGCAAACGGG
RNAcentral lists this ribosomal RNA (253 nucleotides) under uncultured bacterium. RNAcentral's name for it is "partial 16S ribosomal RNA". It matches the Rfam family "Bacterial small subunit ribosomal RNA", at positions 524 to 776 of the family's 1533-position model. The record is from RNAcentral.